RNAcentral lists this long non-coding RNA (2707 nucleotides) under Setaria italica (foxtail millet). Its description in RNAcentral is "long non-coding RNA (SITA_LNC006904)". Lineage: Eukaryota; Viridiplantae; Streptophyta; Magnoliopsida; Poales; Poaceae. The record is from RNAcentral.
GGGGUGUUCUCUCCUGAAUUUCUUAUCUAUUUGGGCAGUCAAGAUACGAUUCGGUGUUGGUGAUUUUUUUUAUUGCAAAAUGCAAUGCUGUCCUCCGAUACAAUCUUCACGUAAUAGCAUGUGUGUUGCUUCAUGGGAUUAUAUUCUAUUAUCUGAAUUAAAUCUUAUUUAAUGUUUGCAUUCCCCUGGGUAAUGUAGAUGGAGGACAGGGAGCUUAUAGACGGAAAAAACUUGUACUCAUCAGUGCUGCUACAUACCUAGCUGCUUGUAUGGUGGUUUUGUUUGUGUCGGUCCAGACUGAGAAAAGAAAGACAACGUAUUACCUAUGCUCCAACGGAGGAUAGAGAUAAGAAAAGGAUUGACUACCUAAACACAAGAAAUUAUAAGGAUGACACAACCUGCACCAAAAUGAUAAGACUUAAGAGAGGUCUUUUCUUUGAGUUGUUACUACUCUUUUGAUGUAUGAUAACAAUGUGUGGUAGCUAUUAUAAAGGAGUUCCAUAUGUAUGCAACACUAUGGAUAGUGUCUGAUUGUAAUAUGGACCUCUUAAUAUAAUAUAUAUUAAUGGUGACUUGCUGUGGCUAAUUUUAUUCAACAUUUAUUACAUACUUGUUUAGCAAAUUAUUGUAAAAAAAGUACAUAAGUGGGACAAAUCAAAAUUUUUUAGAGGGAUCGUACAUGUAACCAAACAACAUACAUGUACCAACUCAUACCAUCCCAUUCAGCUAACCAAACAAAAAUCAUGUAUGGUCAUGUACAACCAACCAAAUAUUAACAUGUACCAUGCCAUCCAGGAUUAUCCCAUUCAUCCAGGAUGACCUAUCCCAUUCAACCUCGUCUAACCAACCAAACGCUACCUAAGAAGCUAACAAGGAGUGCAGGACAUACCCGAUUGCUUUAGUUUUCAUAUCAUGCAUUGCUUCCACUUAGCACUCUGCAAGUAACGCAAAUUGGCACAUGGUUCAGUUUACACAUACACAAGCAUUAGAAAUUCAUAUGUUAAAUCAUAUAUAUCUAUACCAACUUUACAUGCAUUCAAGUCAGACAUGAUCAGAAAUUUUUUUUACCCGAAAUACAAUGGAAGUCAGGGCACAACGAAACUAGCAUUAGAAUUGAAGUGAUACUGUGCUUAGCAAAUCAGCAGUAAAAUAUUCAAUAGGUUCAGUCAAUUUCAGUAUAUGCACACAAAAUUAAUUUUAGGCAAAAUUGCGUAGCAAAAAUUUAGGCAACUUCCUCAGCCUACUGAUCAGUCAACACAGUUGCACAAACCAAUCUCAACUCACUAAUUUCAGAUUUUUCACGAAGAAUCGAAAACACAUGCCUAACUACUUAGUUGGGUGAUCGCCAAAACAUUGCACAGGCAAGUUGGUUCCUCACUAGCAAUCAAUGAAAGCGGUUGAGUGGUAAGGAGGGGUGAACCUGAUGCAUGGCCUACUUGCAGCUCGAACCUAAACUAUACACUCUGCACUACUUAGGCACAUUCAGAUCUACUGCAUGUAUAAAUAGAUCACAUUCAGAUCAACAAGACAGAUCAAAGAAACAUAAGGUUCUAAAAGCCAUACAAACUAAAUAGGCAAACCAGGUUGUAAAUAGGAAAUAAUAGUUGUGAUACAAAAGGAACAUUUGGCACUCAAAUUUCUUAUUCUAAACUUAUCUCUGACUGAACAAAACUUAACUGAACUUCUCUAGCAAUAGUGAUCACUGAUCAGUGGAUGUGACACUGAGCAAGUCAAAAAUUAUAAACAAAAUGGCCACUAAUUCAGUGCAAGCAAACCGAGUUUGCAGCGAUUCAUAGUACUAGUAACUUCAACACCAGACACAAGUUUGCUAAAAGAGUCAAAGGAACCCAGUCCAGCAUAUACGAAAUCCAGGAAUAUAACCCAUCUUAAAUAUUUUGUAACCAACUACUCAAAAUCAGUAUUCAGCCCACUAUAGUUCUUACUUCUUUGCAACUGCCAUAGUAAUUUCAAAGUGGAUGCAUAUCAUAAGAAAAAGAAAAGAUAUACUAGUAACAGGGCAUUUGUAAAAUAAAUUGGAACAGCUAAUAUACCAUUACCCACAAGAACUUAUAACUUCAGAUAAUUAGUUAUACAGGUAGAAGAGAGAUUCACAUGAAUCCAACCAGGAAUCAGAGAACAUUUCCCAAAUAUGAUAAUUAGCAACACUGCCACUUGUCAAAUGCAUGUCCAAGGCCACACCAAAACAAUCAUCAUUGAUUUGUGAGGGAAAACAACUAUAUAUACAAAUCAUCCGCAUGCACACGAGAGGAUCUAAAAAUGUAUGAAUCAGAUCAGACUAAUCGAGAGCUAGGAAACUUAAUAUAGCACAACAAUUGGUAGUCAAAAUCAGUAACAUGGACUGACGUAAAAAAAUCGCAUGAAUUAAAUGUGCACCUCACUAAACCACCGACACAAAUUAAAGGAUAUUCAGAUCCGUCAAGGAGUGGUCUCACCUGUCUGAAAUCUUGCACGGGCUGAAAUAUUCUUCCCCAAGACCUACAAGAAACGGUGCGAGCCUGUGAGGAGAGGAGAGGAGAAGCGAAACCCUAGAACGGCAGGGAGAUGCUGGCAGGGGUCUACUGACCUGCUGCGGAGGCGCAGCGGAGGCAGUGCGCGGCAAGCGACGCACGGCAGGUCGGCAGCAACAGCAGCGGCGUAGGAGAGCGCGGUGGGGACGACGCGGUGGGGACAACUAGGGGAGUCGAUC